This 3112-nucleotide ribosomal RNA is filed under the name Salmonella enterica subsp. enterica serovar Typhimurium. Its description in RNAcentral is "bacterial LSU rRNA". It matches the Rfam family "Bacterial large subunit ribosomal RNA". The record is from RNAcentral. Lineage: Bacteria; Pseudomonadati; Pseudomonadota; Gammaproteobacteria; Enterobacterales; Enterobacteriaceae.
GGGUUGUGAGGUUAAGCGACUAAGCGUACACGGUGGAUGCCCUGGCAGUCAGAGGCGAUGAAGGGCGUGCUAAUCUGCGAUAAGCGCCGGUAAGGUGAUAUGAACCGUUAUAACCGGCGAUACCCGAAUGGGGAAACCCAGUGUGAUUCGUCACACUAUCAUUAACUGAAUCCAUAGGUUAAUGAGGCGAACCGGGGGAACUGAAACAUCUAAGUACCCCGAGGAAAAGAAAUCAACCGAGAUUCCCCCAGUAGCGGCGAGCGAACGGGGAGGAGCCCAGAGCCUGAAUCAGCAUGUGUGUUAGUGGAAGCGUCUGGAAAGGCGCGCGAUACAGGGUGACAGCCCCGUACACAAAAGCGCAUGUGCUGUGAGCUCGAUGAGUAGGGCGGGACACGUGGUAUCCUGUCUGAAUAUGGGGGGACCAUCCUCCAAGGCUAAAUACUCCUGACUGACCGAUAGUGAACCAGUACCGUGAGGGAAAGGCGAAAAGAACCCCGGCGAGGGGAGUGAAAAAGAACCUGAAACCGUGUACGUACAAGCAGUGGGAGCCCCACCACUAAGCCAGUGGUGAACUCCACAUCCGCAUCCUUUGCUGAGGAUACGGUUAACGGAGCGAAAGCGACGUUCAACCGCAAAACAAGCAGAGGGGGCUUAGUGGUGGGGUGACUGCGUACCUUUUGUAUAAUGGGUCAGCGACUUAUAUUCUGUAGCAAGGUUAACCGAAUAGGGGAGCCGGAGGGAAACCGAGUCUUAAUUGGGCGUUAAGUUGCAGGGUAUAGACCCGAAACCCGGUGAUCUAGCCAUGGGCAGGUUGAAGGUUGGGUAACACUAACUGGAGGACCGAACCGACUAAUGUUGAAAAAUUAGCGGAUGACCUGUGGCUGGGGGUGAAAGGCCAAUCAAACCGGGAGAUAGCUGGUUCUCCCCGAAAGCUAUUUAGGUAGCGCCUCGUGAAUUCAUCUCCGGGGGUAGAGCACUGUUUCGGCUAGGGGGCCAUCCCGGCUUACCAACCCGAUGCAAACUGCGAAUACCGGAGAAUGUUAUCACGGGAGACACACGGCGGGUGCUAACGUCCGUCGUGAAGAGGGAAACAACCCAGACCGCCAGCUAAGGUCCCAAAGUCAUGGUUAAGUGGGAAACGAUGUGGGAAGGCCCAGACAGCCAGGAUGUUGGCUUAGAAGCAGCCAUCAUUUAAAGAAAGCGUAAUAGCUCACUGGUCGAGUCGGCCUGCGCGGAAGAUGUAACGGGGCUAAACCAUGCACCGAAGCUGCGGCAGCGAACGUAUCACCCAAGACAACUUUACGGAGUUGACGAUUGACGGAGCGAAGCGACGUCAAAGCGUUCAUUAAAGUCGAGUUGGCUUAGGGAUACGUUCGUUGGGUAGGGGAGCGUUCUGUAAGCCUGUGAAGGUGUGUCGUGAGGCAUGCUGGAGGUAUCAGAAGUGCGAAUGCUGACAUAAGUAACGAUAAAGCGGGUGAAAAGCCCGCUCGCCGGAAGACCAAGGGUUCCUGUCCAACGUUAAUCGGGGCAGGGUGAGUCGACCCCUAAGGCGAGGCCGAAAGGCGUAGUCGAUGGGAAACGGGUUAAUAUUCCCGUACUUGGUGUUACUGCGAAGGGGGGACGGAGAAGGCUAUGUUGGCCGGGCGACGGUUGUCCCGGUUUAAGCGUGUAGGUGUGUGUUCCAGGUAAAUCCGGUUCACUUUAACACUGAGGCGUGACGACGAGGCACUACGGUGCUGAAGCAACAAAUGCCCUGCUUCCAGGAAAAGCCUCUAAGCAUCAGGUAACAUCAAAUCGUACCCCAAACCGACACAGGUGGUCAGGUAGAGAAUACCAAGGCGCUUGAGAGAACUCGGGUGAAGGAACUAGGCAAAAUGGUGCCGUAACUUCGGGAGAAGGCACGCUGACACGUAGGUGAAGUGAUUUACUCAUGGAGCUGAAGUCAGUCGAAGAUACCAGCUGGCUGCAACUGUUUAUUAAAAACACAGCACUGUGCAAACACGAAAGUGGACGUAUACGGUGUGACGCCUGCCCGGUGCCGGAAGGUUAAUUGAUGGGGUCAGCGCAAGCGAAGCUCCUGAUCGAAGCCCCGGUAAACGGCGGCCGUAACUAUAACGGUCCUAAGGUAGCGAAAUUCCUUGUCGGGUAAGUUCCGACCUGCACGAAUGGCGUAAUGAUGGCCAGGCUGUCUCCACCCGAGACUCAGUGAAAUUGAACUCGCUGUGAAGAUGCAGUGUACCCGCGGCAAGACGGAAAGACCCCGUGAACCUUUACUAUAGCUUGACACUGAACAUUGAGCCUUGAUGUGUAGGAUAGGUGGGAGGCUUUGAAGUGUGGACGCCAGUCUGCAUGGAGCCGACCUUGAAAUACCACCCUUUAAUGUUUGAUGUUCUAACGUGGACCCGUUACCCGGGUUGCGGACAGUGUCUGGUGGGUAGUUUGACUGGGGCGGUCUCCUCCUAAAGAGUAACGGAGGAGCACGAAGGUUGGCUAAUCCUGGUCGGACAUCAGGAGGUUAGUGCAAUGGCAUAAGCCAGCUUGACUGCGAGCGUGACGGCGCGAGCAGGUGCGAAAGCAGGUCAUAGUGAUCCGGUGGUUCUGAAUGGAAGGGCCAUCGCUCAACGGAUAAAAGGUACUCCGGGGAUAACAGGCUGAUACCGCCCAAGAGUUCAUAUCGACGGCGGUGUUUGGCACCUCGAUGUCGGCUCAUCACAUCCUGGGGCUGAAGUAGGUCCCAAGGGUAUGGCUGUUCGCCAUUUAAAGUGGUACGCGAGCUGGGUUUAGAACGUCGUGAGACAGUUCGGUCCCUAUCUGCCGUGGGCGCUGGAGAACUGAGGGGGGCUGCUCCUAGUACGAGAGGACCGGAGUGGACGCAUCACUGGUGUUCGGGUUGUCAUGCCAAUGGCACUGCCCGGUAGCUAAAUGCGGAAGAGAUAAGUGCUGAAAGCAUCUAAGCACGAAACUUGCCCCGAGAUGAGUUCUCCCUGAGACUUAGAGUCUCCUGAAGGAACGUUGAAGACGACGACGUUGAUAGGCCGGGUGUGUAAGCGCAGCGAUGCGUUGAGCUAACCGGUACUAAUGAACCGUGAGGCUUAACCUUACAACGCCGAAG